AACCAGGAAUGUAUAGCGAAAGCUAAUUGCAUUUAACUUAGCUUAAUUUGUUAAGCUAAGUUAGUGCAGGAUUGACUAAUAAAAUUCUGUCGAUAGAAUGUGGGUUAUGAUGACAUUUCCUAUCUACGUGUCUUGACCAAACUACGUGCCAGCAGUCGCGGUAACACGUUAAAGACUAGUGUUAUUCAUCUUAAAUAGGUUUAAAGCGUACCUAGACGGGAAAUCAAGCCCAUCUAAUUUUGUAGGGGACUAGAGUUUAAUAUGAGGGGGCAUUAAAGUACUGAUAAGUGUAGAGAUGAAAUUCUGUGAUACAAUAUACGGCACUGGUAAAGGCGAAGGCAUCUCCUUAUGUAAUAACUGACGUUGACUUUGUGGGACGAAGGGUAGCAAAAAGGAUUAGAUACCCAAGUAGUCUUAGCAGAAAAUUAUGAAUGUCAUAGGAUAGAUAGUUGUAUAUAUAUACAACGGUUUUUUUCUAUAAAUGAAAGUGUAAGCAUUCCACCUCAAGCAACAUGAGUAAUUUGUGGAACUGAAAUCAUUAGACCGUUUCUGAAACAAGUAGUGAAGUAUGUUGUUUACCGCAAAAAUUAGAUGGUAACCUUACCACAAUUUGAAUAGAAUUUAUUAUUCAUACAAGCGCUGCACGGUUGUCUUCAGUUAAUGUCGUGAGAUUGUGGUUAGCUCCAUUAAAUUAACGUAAACCCUAACUUUAUUUUUAGUUUACAUAGAGCCCCGCUAGAUUGGAUUAGAUAACAGGGACUAAGACAAGUCAUCAUGGCCUUAAUAUUGUCCC
This 793-nucleotide ribosomal RNA is filed under the name Hyperphyscia adglutinata. RNAcentral's name for it is "SSU rRNA". It matches the Rfam family "Bacterial small subunit ribosomal RNA", at positions 353 to 1213 of the family's 1533-position model. Lineage: Eukaryota; Fungi; Ascomycota; Lecanoromycetes; Caliciales; Physciaceae. The record is from RNAcentral.